RNAcentral lists this ribosomal RNA (464 nucleotides) under uncultured bacterium. Its description in RNAcentral is "partial 16S ribosomal RNA". It matches the Rfam family "Bacterial small subunit ribosomal RNA", at positions 339 to 795 of the family's 1533-position model. The record is from RNAcentral.
CUACGGGUGGCUCCAGUGGGGAAUAUUGGACAAUGGGGGAAACCCUGAUCCAGCAAUGCCGCGUGUGUGAAGAAGGCCUGCGGGUUGUAAAGCACUUUCGGUUGGGAGGACUGCUUCUAGCACUAAUAUUGUUGGAAGUUGACGUUACCUUCAGAAGAAGCACCGGCUAACUCCGUGCCAGCAGCCGCGGUAAUACGGAGGUGCAAGCGUUAAUCGGAAUUACUGGGCGUAAAGCGCGCGUAGGCGGCUAGAUCAGUCGGGUGUGAAAGCCCCGGGCUUAACCUGGGAACUGCAUCCGAUACUGUCUAGAUUGAGUACAGGAGAGGAGAGUGGAAUUCCACAUGUAGCGGUGAAAUGCGUAGAUAUGUGGAGGAACACCAAUGGCGAAGGCAGCUCUCUGGCCUGAUACUGACGCUGAGGUGCGAAAGCGUGGGGAGCAAACAGGAUUAGAUACCCCAGUAGUC